This 407-nucleotide ribosomal RNA is filed under the name uncultured bacterium. RNAcentral describes it as "bacterial SSU rRNA". It matches the Rfam family "Bacterial small subunit ribosomal RNA", at positions 357 to 776 of the family's 1533-position model. The record is from RNAcentral.
GGGAAUAUUGCACAAUGGGCGCAAGCCUGAUGCAGCGACGCCGCGUGAGGGAUGACGGCCUUCGGGUUGUAAACCUCUUUCAGUAGGGAAGAAGCGAAAGUGACGGUACCUGCAGAAGAAGAGCCGGCUAACUACGUGCCAGCAGCCGCGGUAAUACGUAGGGCGCAAGCGUUAUCCGGAUUUAUUGGGCGUAAAGAGCUCGUAGGCGGUUUGUCGCGUCUAUCGUGAAAGUCCGAGGCUCAACCUCGGAUCUGCGGUGGGUACGGGCAGACUAGAGUGAUGUAGGGGAGACUGGAAUUCCUGGUGUAGCGGUGAAAUGCGCAGAUAUCAGGAGGAACACCGAUGGCGAAGGCAGGUCUCUGGGCAUUUACUGACGCUGAGGAGCGAAAGCAUGGGGAGCGAACAGA